RNAcentral lists this ribosomal RNA (484 nucleotides) under uncultured bacterium. RNAcentral describes it as "partial 16S ribosomal RNA". It matches the Rfam family "Bacterial small subunit ribosomal RNA", at positions 30 to 507 of the family's 1533-position model. The record is from RNAcentral.
AUUGAACGCUGGCGGCAGGCCUAACGCAUGCAAGUCGAGCGGAUGAAGGGAGCUUGCUCCUGGAUUCAGCGGCGGACGGGUGAGUAAUGCCUAGGAAUCUGCCUGGUAGUGGGGGAUAACGUCCGGAAACGGGCGCUAAUACCGCAUACGUCCUGAGGGAGAAAGUGGGGGAUCUUCGGACCUCACGCUAUCAGAUGAGCCUAGGUCGGAUUAGCUAGUUGGUGGGGUAAAGGCCUACCAAGGCGACGAUCCGUAACUGGUCUGAGAGGAUGAUCAGUCACACUGGAACUGAGACACGGUCCAGACUCCUACGGGAGGCAGCAGUGGGGAAUAUUGGACAAUGGGCGAAAGCCUGAUCCAGCCAUGCCGCGUGUGUGAAGAAGGUCUUCGGAUUGUAAGGCACUUUAAGUUGGGAGGAAGGGCAGUAAGUUAAUACCUUGCUGUUUUGACGUUACCAACAGAAUAAGCACCGGCUAACUUCGUG